This 314-nucleotide long non-coding RNA is filed under the name Elaeis guineensis (African oil palm). Its description in RNAcentral is "long non-coding RNA (EGUI_LNC012498)". Lineage: Eukaryota; Viridiplantae; Streptophyta; Magnoliopsida; Arecales; Arecaceae. The record is from RNAcentral.
UACUUGAUGGAUGAUAUGAUGAUCCAUGUAUUUAGCUGGACUUUUCCGAUGAUGAUGUAGAUGAUGCUCGAGAAGAUGUAUAUGAUGAAUUCACUCACUAAUGCUCUCUUCUUCUGAAAGCAGUUCUACCAGCUGCAGAUGAGUGAGGGACAAAGCAUGUAGGAGCAUCUCAGCACUUUCAAAAGAUCCUCACUGAUCUCUUCAACGUUGGUGAGAAGGUUGAGGAGAAGAUGAGGACGUUGGUCUUGCUUUCAUCACUUUUUUUUUCUUUUGAGUCUUUGGUGUCUGCUCUUCUUAUAGAAAAAAGCACCAUC